RNAcentral lists this non-coding RNA (124 nucleotides) under unclassified sequences. Its description in RNAcentral is "Flavobacterium-1 RNA". It matches the Rfam family "Flavobacterium-1 RNA". The record is from Rfam by way of RNAcentral.
CCGAGAUAGGCGUACAAAUCUUGCCACUGGCAUUUCCCUGGACGUUAGCGAUGAUGGGCAACCUAGCGACGACGCUCGGCGUGUAGAGGUGGUGAAUUCCGAUUCGAAGGGAAACCACCCGCAC